GCUGGGUGUGGUGACGCAUGCCUGCAAUCCCAGGGGCUGGGGAGGCUGAGGCAGGAGGAUCGCAAGUUCAAAGCCAGCCUCAGCAACUUAGCAAGGUUCUAAGCAACUCAGUGAGACUCUGUCUCUA
This 127-nucleotide small RNA is filed under the name Marmota monax (woodchuck). Lineage: Eukaryota; Metazoa; Chordata; Mammalia; Rodentia; Sciuridae. The record is from RNAcentral.